CAACACGAUCACAUGAAUGGACGGCAGGGCGGUGAUGCAAUGUGCGAGUGGAAGCACACACUGUCCGGAGGAUGACCAGGUGCUUUCAAGAAAGAAAGAAAUGUCUCUAAAUCCUAAAAUAAUCCCAAAAUUAGUACAGUUCGAGCAGACUUUAUUCAGCCCAAACUGAUUUUCUCUGAUUCUCAAUUUGAGAAGUAAAAAAAACACAAAACAAAAAAAGACACACUUUAUUAUUCGUUUGUUCGAUUAGCUCAAAAAAAUAACACUUUUAUCACACAUAAAGUUUGUUUAUUUUAAAAAUAACUCCAGCGUGAAGAAGUCUUUUUCAAGCAUAAACUUGAAAAAAAAGAAGACAUGAGUGAAUUCUCACUCAUGACACUGUGGAAUUAACCUGUGCUAAAAAAAAACAAAA
Solea senegalensis (Senegalese sole) is the source of this 412-nucleotide long non-coding RNA. RefSeq lists it as uncharacterized. The record is from RefSeq and is a predicted model, not a curated record. The transcript has 2 exons. Lineage: Eukaryota; Metazoa; Chordata; Actinopteri; Pleuronectiformes; Soleidae.